Molecule: ribosomal RNA, 463 nt
Filed under: uncultured bacterium
Lineage: Bacteria
Description: partial 16S ribosomal RNA
Rfam family: Bacterial small subunit ribosomal RNA
Source: RNAcentral
GACGAACGCUGGCGGCGUGCUUAACACAUGCAAGUCGAACGGAAAGGCCUUUUCUGGUGUCCUCGGGUUGCGUACGGGUGGGUAACCCGUGGGUGAUCUGCCCUUCACUCUCGGAUAAGCCUGCUAAACUGGGUCUAUUACCUGAUAGGACCGCUCUUUCGUGUGUGGGUUGGCAAGUUUUUUCUGUGUAGGUUGAGCGCGCGGCCUCUGAGCUUGUUGGUGGGGGAUUGGCCUACCAAGGAGGAGAGCGGUAGCCGGACUGAGAGGUUGGACGGCCACAAUGGGACUGGGAAACGGCCCAGACUCCUAAGGGAGGCAGCAGUGGGGAAUAGUGAACAAUGGGCGAAAGCCUGAAGCAGCGACGACGCGUGGGGGAUGACGGACGAAGGGUUGAGAACUCUAAUCGCCAGGGACGAAGCGUUAUGAGAAGGUACCUGGAGAAGAAGCACCGGCUAAAUACGUG